CCUACGGGAGGCAGCAGUGGGGAAUAUUGCACAAUGGGGGAAACCCUGAUGCAGCGACGCCGCGUGAGUGAAGAAGUAUUUCGGUAUGUAAAGCUCUAUCAGCAGGGAAGAAGCAAGACGGUACCUGACUAAGAAGCCCCGGCUAACUACGUGCCAGCAGCCACGGUAAGACGUAGGGGGCAAGCGUUAUCCGGAUUUACUGGGGGUAAAGGGAGCGUAGACGGUAUGGCAAGUCUGAAGUGAAAGCCCAGGGCUUAACCCUGGGACUGCUUUGGAAACUGUUAGACUAGAGUGAUGGAGAGGUAAGUGGAAUGCCUAGUGUAGCGGUGAAAUGCGUAGAUAUUAGGAGGAACACCAGUGGCGAAGGCGGCUUACUGGACAGUAACUGACGUUGAGGCUCGAAAGCGUGGGGAGCAAACAGGAUUAGAUACCCCUGUAGUC
RNAcentral lists this ribosomal RNA (441 nucleotides) under uncultured bacterium. Its description in RNAcentral is "partial 16S ribosomal RNA". It matches the Rfam family "Bacterial small subunit ribosomal RNA", at positions 338 to 795 of the family's 1533-position model. The record is from RNAcentral.